RNAcentral lists this ribosomal RNA (253 nucleotides) under uncultured bacterium. RNAcentral describes it as "partial 16S ribosomal RNA". It matches the Rfam family "Bacterial small subunit ribosomal RNA", at positions 524 to 776 of the family's 1533-position model. The record is from RNAcentral.
UACGGGGGGGGUAAGCGUUGUUCGGAAUUACUGGGCGUAAAGGGUGCGUAGGUGGAUUGGUAAGUCAGUGGUGAAAUCUCCGGGCUUAACCCGGAAACUGCCAUUGAUACUAUCAGUCUUGAAUACCGUGGAGGUCAGUAGAAUAUGUCAUGUAGCGGUGAAAUGCUUAGAUAUGACAUAGAAUACCAAUUGCGAAGGCAGCUGGGUACACGAAUAAUGACACUCAGGCACGAAAGCGUGGGGAUCAAACAGG